AUGUCAUGGGAAAAUAUCACCAAACCAAAGAUAGAUGGGGUUAUAAGAUUCAGGGAUAUGCAGUGUUUCAACUAGGCACUACUAGCUCGUCAAUGUUGGAGACUGAUUCAAUACCCUAACAACCUUUGAGUGAGAGUGCUAAAAUCGAAAUAUUAUCCAAAUGGUAAUUUUUUGGAUACGGUGUUCACGGGUGAUGAUUCCCCUUCCUAG
This 210-nucleotide ribosomal RNA is filed under the name Triticum aestivum (bread wheat). RNAcentral's name for it is "partial small subunit ribosomal RNA". Lineage: Eukaryota; Viridiplantae; Streptophyta; Magnoliopsida; Poales; Poaceae. The record is from RNAcentral.